Molecule: non-coding RNA, 28 nt
Filed under: Mus musculus (house mouse)
Lineage: Eukaryota; Metazoa; Chordata; Mammalia; Rodentia; Muridae
Source: RNAcentral
UACCUCUUUAAGAAUUCAAGACCUCACA